CACGUAUUUAGCCGUUCCUUUCUGGUAAGAUACCGUCACACAUUGAACAGUUACUCUCAAUGUCAUUCUUCUCUUACAACAGUGUUUUACGGGCCGAAACCCUUCAUCACACACGCGGCGUUGCUCCAUCAGGCUUUCGCCCAUUGUGGAAGAUUCCCUACUGCUGCCCUCCCGUAGGAGUAUGGGCCGUGUCUCAGUCCCAUUGUGGCCGAUCAGUCUCUACAACUCGGCUAUGCAUCAUCGUCUUGGUGAGCCAUUACCUCACCAACUAACUAAUGCACCGCGGGACCAUCUCUUAGUGAUGCAGAACCAUUCUUUAAGUAGCAACCAUGCGGUUGCUUAUUGUUAUACGGUAUUAGCAUCUGUUUCAAUGUUAUCCCUGCUAGAGGUUAGGUUCCCAGUCGUUACUCACCCUAUUCCGCCACGUUCUUCGCAUGUCCAUUCGUCAUAUCUG
Molecule: ribosomal RNA, 454 nt
Filed under: uncultured Weissella sp.
Lineage: Bacteria; Bacillati; Bacillota; Bacilli; Lactobacillales; Lactobacillaceae
Description: partial 16S ribosomal RNA
Source: RNAcentral